AGAAUCAACGCUGGCGGCGUGCCUAACACAUGCAAGUCGAACGAGAAAGGGGUAGCAAUACCCUGAGUAAAGUGGCGCACGGGUGAGUAACACGUGACUAACCUACCCUGGAGUGGGGGAUAACUGAGGGAAACCUUAGCUAAUACCGCAUAAUACCCACGGGUCAAAGGAGCAAUUCGCUUCAGGAGGGGUCGCGGCCGAUUAGUUAGUUGGCGGGGUAAUGGCCCACCAAGACGAUGAUCGGUAU
RNAcentral lists this ribosomal RNA (247 nucleotides) under uncultured bacterium. RNAcentral's name for it is "partial small subunit ribosomal RNA". It matches the Rfam family "Bacterial small subunit ribosomal RNA", at positions 26 to 286 of the family's 1533-position model. The record is from RNAcentral.